RNAcentral lists this ribosomal RNA (274 nucleotides) under uncultured Staphylococcus sp. Its description in RNAcentral is "partial 16S ribosomal RNA". It matches the Rfam family "Bacterial small subunit ribosomal RNA", at positions 89 to 354 of the family's 1533-position model. The record is from RNAcentral. Lineage: Bacteria; Bacillati; Bacillota; Bacilli; Caryophanales; Staphylococcaceae.
ACGUUAGCGGCGGACGGGUGAGUAACACGUGGGUAACCUACCUAUAAGACUGGGAUAACUUCGGGAAACCGGAGCUAAUACCGGAUAAUAUUUCGAACCGCAUGGUUCGAUAGUGAAAGAUGGUUUUGCUAUCACUUAUAGAUGGACCCGCGCCGUAUUAGCUAGUUGGUAAGGUAACGGCUUACCAAGGCGACGAUACGUAGCCGACCUGAGAGGGUGAUCGGCCACACGUGGAACUGAGACACGGUCCAGACUCCUACGGGAGGCAGCAGGG